RNAcentral lists this ribosomal RNA (3102 nucleotides) under Triticum aestivum (bread wheat). RNAcentral's name for it is "partial small subunit ribosomal RNA". The record is from RNAcentral. Lineage: Eukaryota; Viridiplantae; Streptophyta; Magnoliopsida; Poales; Poaceae.
GGCUCGCCGCCUCCGCCCGGUUGCGCCUCGCGCGCCCGGCUCGGUGCGCUCGCGACCCGCCCCCAUCCGGCUCCUCCUCUGGCCGGCUUCGCCCGCCCGCCUACUGGCGCGUCAGCGCCCUCAUCACCUCCCGCGCCGACCCCCCGCGUCGCCGUGCCGCCUGCCUGCAUCCCGGACUCCUCCGUCCGCGUGCUGGCCUACAUCGCCCCGCACACCCGAACGCCGACUCCUGCGCCGCGCCGGCUCCACGCGUGCCCGCGUUGCCGGCCUGCCGCCUUCCACGGGCUCCUCCUCCACGGUGCCGUCCGUGCCGACUGCCCCGCCCAUGCGCGCCAGCCUCCACGACCAGCCUCCCGCGCGGCCCAGUCCGGCUCUGCCCGGCCGGCUUCACCCGAGUCACAGCUCCCGUACCGACUCCUCCGCACCGGCUCGUCCGGCUCCGUCCGGCUGCUCCGCCUCAACCGCCCGCAUGCCGGCUGGCCGAGGCCGGCUCCAGCUCCGCGCGCCUGCAUCCGGCCCCAGGGCCGGCCAUCCCGUGCUGGCCUCCACUCCCUCGCGCCGCCUCGUGCCGGCCUCCGCCCCGCCGACCUCCGGGUCGGUUCCGUCCAUGCCUCAGCACCUGCCCCGCCUCGCGGCCUCCUCCGCCUGCGCGCCCCGUGGUCGGCUGCGCCCCGCGUCGGCUCGCGCUUGCGUGGGCCGCUUCCCGCCUUGGCCGUGGGCGGUGGCCUUCGCUGGCCGGCUGCCCAGAGGGCAGAGAGGGGGGGGGCGGCUAGAGCCUAGAAGAGGCCGGCUGAUUAUCCCUUGUCGACUGGUAAAAGAGAGAAAAGUCAACAGCUGCUUCAUGCGGAGAUACAGAAAAAAUGUGUGUGUGCAUCCGGCUUCCCAGAGCCGGGUGAAGAAAAGGCCGGGUGCCCAUGGCCGACUGGCAGAGAAAAGUCACGCCGGGUGCCCAGCCGGCUUACUGAAAAAAAGGAGGAUCCGACUUUGCAGACUGCAGUCAAGCCGACUACUCCGGUCAACAGCCCACGUUGCCGCUGGGCUGACUGGUUCGUCUGCCCGCUUCACUGCCUGGCCGACCGAGGAGUCGAUCCAUCUGAGCACAGCCGACUGAUGAGGAAAAAAGAAGAAGACAAAGUAGUUGCCGGGAGAUCCGGCCCGACUGCUCAGCAUUCGGCCCGAAUCUCGGGGGCUACACCCAGCGGGUGCGCUGACGCGCCCCCGCGAAGAAGAAGACAAAGUAGUUGCCGAGAGAUCCGGCCCGACUGCUCCGCAGUCGGCCCGAAUCUCGGGGGCUACACCCAGCAGGUGCGCUGACGCGCCCCCGCGAAGAUUGCAGACAAGAGAAGAGUUUUGUCCGGCUCCGAGCAGCCGGCGGAAGAGAAGAAGAAGAAGAUAGGCGCUGCAAGAUGCAUCGCCGACUGGCCGGUCGAGCCUGACUGGCCAGGACCCCUUCGAGCACCCGGAGGCUCAACCUCUGUCUCAACUACACGAAAAUCAGUGUGAGCUCCUCACCCGCAUAUUUUUUGCACCACAAGAGCAUGGAUAACCCCGAGUGAUGCUCGGGGGCUAUCUUCACAUUUUAAUUACAGUUGCAUCACUGUUUGCCCCAGCGCCAGCCAGAGUUGGCCCGAGGGUUGGCCGCUUGGCCUGAGAUGUUUGUCCCCGCAGACGGCUUAGUAGCGUGCACGGUACCAAAGGCUCACUCUUAGUCACAAACCGCAUAGCGGCUGUCCGGCUAGCAAGAGUGAGCGCUGGAGGCCACCCACGCGAAAAACGUCCGGGAAGAAAAAUGGUUCGGGCGACCCGGCCGUUUUCCUUUACAAGUAUCUACUCGGUUGAAUCUGCUCCCAGACUCUGAGUACUGUACACUCCACUUCGCGGCCCACUCUCAGCCACAGAACGCAGAGCGGCUGUCCGUCGAGCGAGAGCACAAGCCAAAAAGCGGAGAGAACAUGAAAAAGAUUGAAGGGGGCUCGGACGAAACUGAGUCGACACCCUCCGCAUAAAACUUGCAAUGCUAAAAGCAAACAUUUGAUAUAUCUGCAUGGACUAACUUUGUCUUUUUUCUUGACAAUUUCCAUGAACACUCGCCAAAAAACCUCCGCCCAACUUUGCCAAGUUGCCCGGAGGCUUGGGGGCUACUGUCGGAGUAAUCGACCACGGGUACCCCGAGGACGGCAAGACGAUAUUUCAAGACAUCGGGGCUAGCAAAGCCCCUCAGUCCGACUGCCAGGCUGCUCCUGCCGGCUCCCCGUCCGACUGUUCUACCCGGCCGGCUGCCGACUAUGCCAACCAGCCUGCCUGCCGACUACGCCAACCAGCCUGCCUGCAGCCCAACCCGACACCGACAAGACACCGACGAGACGGCCAUACCGCGGACAAGACAACCGUACCGCGACGACAUCAUGUACAGUGUCACUUGUCCCCUGGCACUAUUUAUGAAGUGACCCAAGGGACAAGCAUGACAUGCACCAUGCCUUGUCCAUGCCACUACAUAGCUUAGGAAGUAAGCUAGCCCACACUAUAAAAGGGGCACACAUCCAUCCAUCCACUCACUCACGCCACAUUCAUUUGGCCACAAGGCCACUCACGGCCACAAGCCCUGGCCAUACUUGGCCACUAGAGCCAGCCAUACGCAUGCAUAUACGAGAUCAAAUGCCCCUGGCAUUGAUCUCAGAUACAGCUCCAGGAGCACUUUGUACCAGAUAUAUCAUAUAUACUCAGACAUGCAGGAGUACGGGUAUUAUCUCUCCGGAGAGCCCCGAACCUGGGUAAACUAGCGCGUGCUACUCGCAUACCCGCUCCCGGUCCUAUCAACAGCAGUCUUACCCUCACACUAAGUCCUUGUGGCAUCUGUCGACUCGCAAGCCCCCCGUGAGAAUACCACGACAGGGAUACCGACGAUCGGAUCUCAGGCAAGUAACAUACCGAUAGGCAAAGGGAUUGUAUACAGGAUUGAUUGAAUCCCCGACAUCAUGGUUCAUCCGAUGAGAUCAUCGUGGAACAUGUGGGAGCCAAUAUGGGUAUCCAGAUCCCGCUAUUGGUUAUUAGCCGGAGAGAUGUCUCGGUCAUGUCUGCAUGGUUCCCGAACCCGUAUGGUCU